ACACUAACUGGAGGACCGAACCGACUAAUGUUGAAAAAUUAGCGGAUGACUUGUGGCUGGGGGUGAAAGGCCAAUCAAACCGGGAGAUAGCUGGUUCUCCCCGAAAGCUAUUUAGGUAGCGCCUCGUGAAUUCAUCUCCGGGGGUAGAGCACUGUUUCGGCAAGGGGGUCAUCCCGACUUACCAACCCGAUGCAAACUGCGAAUACCGGAGAAUGUUAUCACGGGAGACACACGGCGGGUGCUAACGUCCGUCGUGAAGAGGGAAACAACCCAGACCGCCAGCUAAGGUCCCAAAGUCAUGGUUAAGUGGGAAACGAUGUGGGAAGGCCCAGACAGCCAGGAUGUUGGCUUAGAAGCAGCCAUCAUUUAAAGAAAGCGUAAUAGCUCACUGGUCGAGUCGGCCUGCGCGGAAGAUGUAACGGGGCUAAACCAUGCACCGAAGCUGCGGCAGCGACGCUUAUGCGUUGUUGGGUAGGGGAGCGUUCUGUAAGCCUGUGAAGGUGUGCUGUGAGGCAUGCUGGAGGUAUCAGAAGUGCGAAUGCUGACAUAAGUAACGAUAAAGCGGGUGAAAAGCCCGCUCGCCGGAAGACCAAGGGUUCCUGUCCAACGUUAAUCGGGGCAGGGUGAGUCGACCCCUAAGGCGAGGCCGAAAGGCGUAGUCGAUGGGAAACAGGUUAAUAUUCCUGUACUUGGUGUUACUGCGAAGGGGGGACGGAGAAGGCUAUGUUGGCCGGGCGACGGUUGUCCCGGUUUAAGCGUGUAGGCUGGUUUUCCAGGCAAAUCCGGAAAAUCAAGGCUGAGGCGUGAUGACGAGGCACUACGGUGCUGAAGCAACAAAUGCCCUGCUUCCAGGAAAAGCCUCUAAGCAUCAGGUAACAUCAAAUCGUACCCCAAACCGACACAGGUGGUCAGGUAGAGAAUACCAAGGCGCUUGAGAGAACUCGGGUGAAGGAACUAGGCAAAAUGGUGCCGUAACUUCGGGAGAAGGCACGCUGAUAUGUAGGUGAAGUCCCUCGCGGAUGGAGCUGAAAUCAGUCGAAGAUACCAGCUGGCUGCAACUGUUUAUUAAAAACACAGCACUGUGCAAACACGAAAGUGGACGUAUACGGUGUGACGCCUGCCCGGUGCCGGAAGGUUAAUUGAUGGGGUCAGCGCAAGCGAAGCUCUUGAUCGAAGCCCCGGUAAACGGCGGCCGUAACUAUAACGGUCCUAAGGUAGCGAAAUUCCUUGUCGGGUAAGUUCCGACCUGCACGAAUGGCGUAAUGAUGGCCAGGCUGUCUCCACCCGAGACUCAGUGAAAUUGAACUCGCUGUGAAGAUGCAGUGUACCCGCGGCAAGACGGAAAGACCCCGUGAACCUUUACUAUAGCUUGACACUGAACAUUGAGCCUUGAUGUGUAGGAUAGGUGGGAGGCUUAGAAGUGUGGACGCCAGUCUGCAUGGAGCCGACCUUGAAAUACCACCCUUUAAUGUUUGAUGUUCUAACGUUGACCCGUAAUCCGGGUUGCGGACAGUGUCUGGUGGGUAGUUUGACUGGGGCGGUCUCCUCCUAAAGAGUAACGGAGGAGCACGAAGGUUGGCUAAUCCUGGUCGGACAUCAGGAGGUUAGUGCAAUGGCAUAAGCCAGCUUGACUGCGAGCGUGACGGCGCGAGCAGGUGCGAAAGCAGGUCAUAGUGAUCCGGUGGUUCUGAAUGGAAGGGCCAUCGCUCAACGGAUAAAAGGUACUCCGGGGAUAACAGGCUGAUACCGCCCAAGAGUUCAUAUCGACGGCGGUGUUUGGCACCUCGAUGUCGGCUCAUCACAUCCUGGGGCUGAAGUAGGUCCCAAGGGUAUGGCUGUUCGCCAUUUAAAGUGGUACGCGAGCUGGGUUUAGAACGUCGUGAGACAGUUCGGUCCCUAUCUGCCGUGGGCGCUGGAGAACUGAGGGGGGCUGCUCCUAGUACGAGAGGACCGGAGUGGACGCAUCACUGGUGUUCGGGUUGUCAUGCCAAUGGCACUGCCCGGUAGCUAAAUGCGGAAGAGAUAAGUGCUGAAAGCAUCUAA
RNAcentral lists this ribosomal RNA (2043 nucleotides) under Escherichia coli. Its description in RNAcentral is "partial 23S ribosomal RNA". It matches the Rfam family "Bacterial large subunit ribosomal RNA", at positions 759 to 2784 of the family's 2925-position model. Lineage: Bacteria; Pseudomonadati; Pseudomonadota; Gammaproteobacteria; Enterobacterales; Enterobacteriaceae. The record is from RNAcentral.